GCGACUGAUAUGUAGCGGCUGUUCUUUGGAACCGUCGCCGCUAUCAUGUUUUCCAGAUACUUUGUGGCUGUUAUCCUAAACCGUCGUGACUUUUUCUACUUUUCGCGCACCCNNNNNNNNNNNNUUCGUUCUUCACAUAUUUUUUCUCAAACCUUCGUUCUUCGCAGAUUUGUUCAAUCACUCACAGAUUUUCAUCGAUUCCUUCUUGUUCGAUCAAACUCAAGCUCGAACUCGAAUACUUUCAAUCGGUUUCAAACCUUCUCCUCAAAUUCGUUCAACUUUAGCUUCAAUCUUCAUAAUUCAGGUUCAUUAGGUUAAAUUUGGUAAUUAGGUUCACUUAAUUUAGUAUGAUUUUGAAAUUUGGUAAUUAGGGUUUUGACAUUUCAUUGUUA
Molecule: long non-coding RNA, 392 nt
Filed under: Trifolium pratense (red clover)
Lineage: Eukaryota; Viridiplantae; Streptophyta; Magnoliopsida; Fabales; Fabaceae
Description: long non-coding RNA (TPRA_LNC003296)
Source: RNAcentral